CCCCAUAUCCGCGGGGGCUCUCACGCACCGAGGGCUGAGAUGGCGACAGGCGGUCGCCGACCGCCUGAACCUGUCCGGGUAAUGCCGGCGUAGGGAGACCACCAUGAGCACAC
Molecule: non-coding RNA, 113 nt
Filed under: Gordonia araii
Lineage: Bacteria; Bacillati; Actinomycetota; Actinomycetes; Mycobacteriales; Gordoniaceae
Description: TPP sequence
Rfam family: TPP riboswitch aptamer (THI element)
About the family: Vitamin B(1) in its active form thiamin pyrophosphate (TPP) is an essential coenzyme that is synthesised by coupling of pyrimidine and thiazole moieties in bacteria. The previously detected thiamin-regulatory element, thi box was extended, resulting in a new, highly conserved RNA secondary structure, the THI element, which is widely distributed in eubacteria and also occurs in some archaea. Analysis of operon structures identified a large number of new candidate thiamin-regulated genes, mostly transporters, in various prokaryotic organisms.
Source: RNAcentral